AAUAAAUUUAAAAAAUUAAAAAAAUAAAAUUUUUGAUUUUUUAAAAUAAUUAGUAAAAUAUUAUUAAAUUUUUAAAAAAAAAUUUUAGUAUUUAAAUAGAAAAAAAAUUAAUAUUUAUAGUUAAUUAGUAAUGUAAAUGAAAUUUGAAAAAAUUUAAAAAAAUAAUAUAUUUAAAAGAUAAAUUAAAUUUUUUUAUCUUGUGUAUCAGAGUUUAAAAAUUAUAUUAUAUUAUAAAAUAUUUUUUUCGAAAAAAAUUAAGAGAUAAAAUUUUUAAAUUUUAAUUGUGGAAAAAACUUUAAAUAAGAAAUUUUUGUAAUGAAAAGUUAUUCGAUUUUUUUUAUUUCUAAUUUUUAAAGAAAAAAAUUUAAUUUUGAAUUUAAUUUUGGAUUUAAAAGAUUUUUAAAUUUAUAUUAUAUAAAAAUUAAAUAUUUAUAUUUAUAGGGAUAAGCUUAUAAUUAAAAUUUUAUAUUUUAUUAAAUUUAAAUUAAUAGAAUUUUAAAAUUAAAAUUUUUUAUUUUACUUGAAAUUUUUAAUAAAUUAUCUAUUAAAAAUUAAUUUAUUUUAAAAUAUUUAAUUAAAAAUUUAUUUAAAAUUAUUUAUAAAUUUAAAUUAAUUAGAUUUAAUGUUAAAAUUAGUAUAAAAUUAAUAUUUUAAAAGGAAAAAAAAAUUAGUUUUAAGAAUUAGGCAAAAAAAAAAUUAAAUUUAAAUAGUUUAUUUCACCUGUUUAACAAAAACAUGUCUUUUUGUAAAAAAUAAUAAGUCUAAUCUGCCCACUGAUAAUGUUUAUUGAAGGGCUGCAGAAAUUUAACUGUACAAAGGUAGCAUAAUAAAUUGUUUUUUGAUUAAAAACUAGAAUGAAUGAUUAAAUGAAAUUAAAGCUUUUUUAAAUUAAUUAAGUAGAAUUUGAUUUUUUUGUUAAAAAUCAAAAAUUUAUAUUUUAGACGAGAAGACCCUUUAGAUUUUAAUUAAAAAUUUUUAAAUAUAUAAUUUUAAAUUUAAUUUAUAAAUAUUUAAUUUGAUUGGGGUGAUUGUUAAAUUUAAUUAACUUUAAUUUGUAAUAAAAUUUUAAUUAAAGAAAUUGAUGAAUAAAGGAUUUAAUUUGUUGGAUUAAAAGAAUAAAUUACCUAAGGGAUAACAGCGUAAUUUUAAUUUUUAGAUCUUAUAAAAAUUAAAGAUUGCGACCUCGAUGUUGGAUUAAGAUGAAAUAGAAAUGCAGUUGUUUUUGUUUUUAGUCUGUUCGACUAUUAAAAUCUUACAUGAUCUGAGUUCAAACCGGUGUGAGCCAGGUUGGUUUCUAUCUAAAUUAACAAUGUAAAUUUUUAGUACGAAAGGAUUGAUUUUUAGAAAUAAUGAGUUUAGGAAUAUUAUUGAAAGAAAAUAAGUAGAUAUUAGAUGAA
RNAcentral lists this ribosomal RNA (1397 nucleotides) under Cheumatopsyche speciosa. RNAcentral's name for it is "16S ribosomal RNA". Lineage: Eukaryota; Metazoa; Arthropoda; Insecta; Trichoptera; Hydropsychidae. The record is from RNAcentral.